This is a non-coding RNA of Paramuricea clavata, 551 nucleotides long. Lineage: Eukaryota; Metazoa; Cnidaria; Anthozoa; Malacalcyonacea; Plexauridae. The record is from the annotation of a GenBank genome assembly.
GCCCACCUUGCCUUUAACAUUGAUCCUAUAUAUAAUGAAUUAACAUAGCUAACUUGAUUAUGUUGCUAGUCAAGUAUGGGACCUAUGGGUCUUCUAGAUCCUAGAGUAGCACAAUUAAUAUAAAUUCUCCGUAAGGCGGUAAUAUUAAUUAAGACUGUUCUUAUUUAUGCAUGACCUUUGACUAUUAAGUGGCCAAAAAUUGUGCCUACAGUAAUCAACUUAUUCCACUAUCCAGGUUGCAUCACUUUUGAUUGCAAAACACCCAGGUUUAUUAUACAUGGAUUUGCUAGCAAAAUAGCAGCAAUUGAUGAACUUGGUGUUGUUGUGUAAAGAAACAACGAAAAGUAUAUAUCAAUCAAUCAAUAGUAUAUAUCAAUCGAUCUCCAAAGAAAGUAGCUACAUGUGCGGACAACAUGAAACUUCAGACUGCAGAAAAUUUCACAAUCCGUUUUCAAAAUUUAUGUCACAGAAGUGGUAUUUAAAAGGACAUAUGUGACAACUGAAUGGUACCUUUUGUAAAUUUUUUGGCCAGGGGUGGGUAUUUAUUUUUU